RNAcentral lists this ribosomal RNA (359 nucleotides) under uncultured bacterium. RNAcentral describes it as "bacterial SSU rRNA". It matches the Rfam family "Bacterial small subunit ribosomal RNA", at positions 29 to 416 of the family's 1533-position model. The record is from RNAcentral.
AACGAACGCUGGCGGCAUGCCUAACACAUGCAAGUCGAACGAGACCUUCGGGUCUAGUGGCGCACGGGUGCGUAACGCGUGGGAAUCUGCCCUUAGGUUCGGAAUAACUCAGGGAAACUUGAGCUAAUACCAUAUAAUGUCUUCGGACCAAAGAUUUAUCGCCCUGAGAUAAGCCCGCGUAGGAUUAGCUAGUUGGUGGGGUAAAGGCUCACCAAGGCGACGAUCCUUAGCUGGUCUGAGAGGAUGAUCAGCCACACUGGGACUGAGACACGGCCCAGACUCCUACGGGAGGCAGCAGUGGGGAAUAUUGGACAAUGGGCGAAGCCUGAUCCAACAAUGCCGCGUGAGUGAUGAAGGCC